Molecule: ribosomal RNA, 468 nt
Filed under: uncultured bacterium
Lineage: Bacteria
Description: partial 16S ribosomal RNA
Rfam family: Bacterial small subunit ribosomal RNA
Source: RNAcentral
GACGAACGCUGGCGGCGUGCUUAACACAUGCAAGUCGAACGGAAAGGCCCUGCUUUUGUGGGGUUCUCGAGUGGCGAACGGGUGAGUAACACGUGAGUAACCUGCCCUUGACUUUGGGAUAACUUCAGGAAACUGGGGCUAAUACCGGAUAGGAUCUCCUGCUGCAUGGUGGGGGUUGGAAAGUUUCGGCGGUUGGGGAUGGACUCGCGGCUUAUCAGCUUGUUGGUGGGGUAGUGGCUUACCAAGGCUUUGACGGGUACCCGGCCUGAGAGGGUGCCCGGCCACAUUGGGACUGAGAGACGGCCCAGAAGCCUACGGGAGGCAGCAGUGGGGAAUAUUGCACAAUGGGCGGAAGCCUGAUGCAGCAACGCCGCGUGCGGGAUGACGGCCUUCGGGGUGUAAACCGCUUUCGCCUGUGACGAAGCGUGAGUGACGGUAAUGGGUAAAGAAGCACCGGCUAACUACGUG